This 253-nucleotide ribosomal RNA is filed under the name uncultured bacterium. RNAcentral's name for it is "partial 16S ribosomal RNA". It matches the Rfam family "Bacterial small subunit ribosomal RNA", at positions 524 to 776 of the family's 1533-position model. The record is from RNAcentral.
UACGGGGGGGGCAAGCGUUGUUCGGAAUUACGGGGCGUAAAGGGUUAGUAGGUGGCCAACUAAGUCAGACGUGAAAUCCCUCAGCUUAACUGGGGAACUGCGUCUGAGACUGAUUGGCUCGAGGACAGGAGAGGAACGCGGAAUUCCAGGUGUAGCGGUGAAAUGCGUAGAUAUCUGGAGGAACACCGGUGGCGAAGGCGGCGUUCUGGACUGUUUCUGACACUGAAUAACGAAAGCCAGGGGAGCAAACGGG